CUACGGGAGGCAGCAGUGGGGAAUCUUAGACAAUGGGCGCAAGCCUGAUCUAGCCAUGCCGCGUGAGUGACGAAGGCCUUAGGGUCGUAAAGCUCUUUCGCUGGAGAAGAUAAUGACGGUAUCCAGUAAAGAAACCCCGGCUAACUCCGUGCCAGCAGCCGCGGUAAUACGGAGGGGGUUAGCGUUGUUCGGAAUUACUGGGCGCAAAGCGCGCGUAGGCGGAUCAGAAAGUUGGGGGUGAAAUCCCAGGGCUCAACCCGGGAACUGCCCUCAAAACUCCUGGUCUUGAGUUCGAGAGAGGUGAGUGGAAUUCCGAGUGUAGAGGUGAAAUUCGUAGAUAUUCGGAGGAACACCAGUGGCGAAGGCGGCUCACUGGCUCGAUACUGACGCUGAGGUGCGAAAGCGUGGGGAGCAAACAGGAUUAGAUACCCGCGUAGUC
RNAcentral lists this ribosomal RNA (439 nucleotides) under uncultured bacterium. Its description in RNAcentral is "partial 16S ribosomal RNA". It matches the Rfam family "Bacterial small subunit ribosomal RNA", at positions 339 to 795 of the family's 1533-position model. The record is from RNAcentral.